UUUACAAUGGAGAGUUUGAUCCUGGCUCAGGAUGAACGCUAGCGGCAGGCUUAAUACAUGCAAGUCGAGGGGCAGCAGGGGUGUAGCAAUACACUCGCUGGCGACCGGCAAACGGG
This 116-nucleotide ribosomal RNA is filed under the name Flavisolibacter sp. Its description in RNAcentral is "partial 16S ribosomal RNA". It matches the Rfam family "Bacterial small subunit ribosomal RNA", at positions 1 to 106 of the family's 1533-position model. Lineage: Bacteria; Pseudomonadati; Bacteroidota; Chitinophagia; Chitinophagales; Chitinophagaceae. The record is from RNAcentral.